This 135-nucleotide ribosomal RNA is filed under the name Microcebus murinus (gray mouse lemur). Lineage: Eukaryota; Metazoa; Chordata; Mammalia; Primates; Cheirogaleidae. The record is from RNAcentral.
GUCUACGGCCAUACCACCCUGAAUGCGCCCGAUCUUGUCUGAUCUCAGAAGCUAAGCAGGGCCCGGCCUGGUUAGCACUUGGAUUGGAAAAGCAAAAUUCAACCUCUCCCACCUGCCCCCAGGGCACUGUGGUGG